Molecule: unclassified non-coding RNA, 299 nt
Organism: Callithrix jacchus (white-tufted-ear marmoset)
Lineage: Eukaryota; Metazoa; Chordata; Mammalia; Primates; Cebidae
Rfam family: Metazoan signal recognition particle RNA
About the family: The signal recognition particle (SRP) is a universally conserved ribonucleoprotein. It is involved in the co-translational targeting of proteins to membranes.
Source: Ensembl
GCCGGGCAUGGUGGCGUGUGCCUGUAGUCCCAGCUAUUCGGGAGGCUGAGGCUGGAGGAUCUCUUGAGUCCAGGAGUUCUGGGCUAUAGUGCACUAUGCCGAUUGGUGUCCACACUAAGUUCGGCAUCAAUAUGGUGACCUCCUGGGAGCGGGGGACCACCAGGUUGCCUAAGGAGGGGUGAACCGGCCCAGGUCAGAAACGGAGCAGGUCAAAACUCCUGUGCUGAUCAGUAGUGGGAUCGUGCCUUUGAAUAGCCACUACACUCCAGCCUGGGCAACAUAGUGAGACUUCGUCUCUA